This 906-nucleotide ribosomal RNA is filed under the name Enterococcus casseliflavus. RNAcentral describes it as "bacterial SSU rRNA". It matches the Rfam family "Bacterial small subunit ribosomal RNA", at positions 36 to 913 of the family's 1533-position model. Lineage: Bacteria; Bacillati; Bacillota; Bacilli; Lactobacillales; Enterococcaceae. The record is from RNAcentral.
CUGGCGGCGUGCCUAAUACAUGCAAGUCGAACGCUUUUUCUUUCACCGGAGCUUGCUCCACCGAAAGAAAAAGAGUGGCGAACGGGUGAGUAACACGUGGGUAACCUGCCCAUCAGAAGGGGAUAACACUUGGAAACAGGUGCUAAUACCGUAUAACACUAUUUUCCGCAUGGAAGAAAGUUGAAAGGCGCUUUUGCGUCACUGAUGGAUGGACCCGCGGUGCAUUAGCUAGUUGGUGAGGUAACGGCUCACCAAGGCAACGAUGCAUAGCCGACCUGAGAGGGUGAUCGGCCACACUGGGACUGAGACACGGCCCAGACUCCUACGGGAGGCAGCAGUAGGGAAUCUUCGGCAAUGGACGAAAGUCUGACCGAGCAACGCCGCGUGAGUGAAGAAGGUUUUCGGAUCGUAAAACUCUGUUGUUAGAGAAGAACAAGGAUGAGAGUAAAAUGUUCAUCCCUUGACGGUAUCUAACCAGAAAGCCACGGCUAACUACGUGCCAGCAGCCGCGGUAAUACGUAGGUGGCAAGCGUUGUCCGGAUUUAUUGGGCGUAAAGCGAGCGCAGGCGGUUUCUUAAGUCUGAUGUGAAAGCCCCCGGCUCAACCGGGGAGGGUCAUUGGAAACUGGGAGACUUGAGUGCAGAAGAGGAGAGUGGAAUUCCAUGUGUAGCGGUGAAAUGCGUAGAUAUAUGGAGGAACACCAGUGGCGAAGGCGGCUCUCUGGUCUGUAACUGACGCUGAGGCUCGAAAGCGUGGGGAGCGAACAGGAUUAGAUACCCUGGUAGUCCACGCCGUAAACGAUGAGUGCUAAGUGUUGGAGGGUUUCCGCCCUUCAGUGCUGCAGCAAACGCAUUAAGCACUCCGCCUGGGGAGUACGACCGCAAGGUUGAAACUCAAAGGAAUUGA